This is a non-coding RNA of Aedes albopictus (Asian tiger mosquito), 65 nucleotides long. The record is from Rfam. NCBI's taxonomy places the organism in Eukaryota, Metazoa, Arthropoda, Insecta, Diptera, Culicidae.
UGUUUUGUGGCUUAGUUGGUUAAAGCGUCUUUCUGAAGUCGUAGGUACGAAUCCCACCAGAACAA